RNAcentral lists this ribosomal RNA (253 nucleotides) under uncultured bacterium. Its description in RNAcentral is "partial 16S ribosomal RNA". It matches the Rfam family "Bacterial small subunit ribosomal RNA", at positions 524 to 776 of the family's 1533-position model. The record is from RNAcentral.
UACGGAGGGUGCAAGCGUUAUUCGGGAUUACUGGGCGUAAAGCGCACGCAGGCGGUCUGUCAAGUCGGAUGUGAAAUCCCCGGGCUCAACCCGGGAACUGCAUUCGAAACUGGCAGACUAGAGUCAUGUAGAGGUGGGUAGAAUUCCUGGUGUAGCGGUGAAAUGCGUAGAGAUCUGGAGGAAUACCGGUGGCGAAGGCGGCCCCCUGGACAAAGACUGACGCUGAGGUGCGAAAGCGUGGGGAGCAAACAGG